Molecule: long non-coding RNA, 1399 nt
Filed under: Saimiri boliviensis boliviensis (Bolivian squirrel monkey)
Lineage: Eukaryota; Metazoa; Chordata; Mammalia; Primates; Cebidae
Description: lncRNA (ENSSBOG00000036650.1)
Source: RNAcentral
AUGCUUCUAGAAGAUUCCUGGCGAAGCCUCAGGAUCCCUGGAGGCUGUGGACGGGUGUCCGUGAGGCUGGCCUGCAGCUGUGAAAUCCUCUGCACCCAGACUUCCGCCUGCUCGCCCAGCCCUGGGCCUGCCCGCAUGGGGAGGAGAGAAGCCCCAGGCUGCCUGGGAUGGGCUCCCAGCCGUCCCUGCCCCUCGCUUCUGGCCACGUUCUGCCCGUCAUGGCCCAGGACCUCUGGCUCUGUGCCUGGGGAGCAGCUGCACCCCUCACUCUCAGGGGGCUUGGCCUACGCCCACUUUAAGCUGCUGCCCAGGCCCAUGGAGCGAGCAGCUCCGUCUGAAGAAGGGGAGAUGAGAGAGCAGCUGGAGAACAGGAGGCCUAGGAGGCUGACCAGGCCUAGGACACCAGGAGAACGUGGCAGCUGCGUCCUGGGUGCAGGACCCUCCCUGCCUUACCAGGCCCCCACCCAGCUGCCAGGAGGCAGGGUCCAGGCGGCCCUGGUGUGAGGUCCACCAAAAUCCAGCGCUGUGUUAUGGGGAAGGCUCUCGAAGUUGCCCAGUGCUGUGUCUGCACGGGGAGGCUCCUACAGGAAGUGCGUGUGAAGGAGGAAAAUGCAUGCAGGGGAAGGAGUAGGGUGCCAUGGUGAGUCAAACCGCGUUCCUGGAAAAGAUCCGUUCAAGCGUGAGCCCCAGGACCUAGGAAUGUGAAAUUUAUUGGAAAACAGGGCUUUGGCAGAUGUGAUUAAGGAUGCCAAAAUGAGAGCAUCCUGGGAUUAGGGUGGGCCUAAAUCCAAGGACAGGCGUCCUUAUAGGAGAAAGGGGGAGGAGGGGUUGAGACCUAGAGGGGCAGGGAAGACAGGCAGGAAUGGGAGUGAUGUGGCUGCAAGCCAAGGACUGCAGGCAACGCUGGGUGAGCGAGCGUGAGCAUGUGUGCAUGUGUGAGCGUGCGUGUGUGUGCAUGUGUGUGUGCGUGUGUCUGAGUGUGCGUGUGUGUGAAUGUGUGCAUGCAUGUGUGUGCAGGUGUGCGUGCAUGUGUGAGUAUGCAUGCGUGUGUGAAUAUGAGCCUCUGGGGAUCAGGAAGCAGGCACAGAGCAGCCCCUCCCUCCAAGCCUGCAAAGCAAGCAGCCCUGCUGACCCCUCUGGGACCAAAGGAGAAUAAAAUUCUCCCCUCAGUUUGCGGCACUUUAUGUGGCAGUCCCAGGACACUGAUACAGGUGUCAAGAGACGGGCACGGGCCGGGCACCAUGGCUCACGUCUGUCAUCCCAGCACUGUAGGAGGCUGAGGUGGGUGGAUCACUUGAAGUCAGGAGUUCAAGACCAGCCUGGCCAACAUGGUGAAACCCCGUCUCUACUAAAAAUGCAAAGAUUAACUGAGUGUGGUGGUGCACGCCUGUAAUCCCAG